This 813-nucleotide long non-coding RNA is filed under the name Coturnix japonica (Japanese quail). Its description in RNAcentral is "lncRNA (ENSCJPG00005020954.1)". The record is from RNAcentral. Lineage: Eukaryota; Metazoa; Chordata; Aves; Galliformes; Phasianidae.
UCUACUGUCUAUCUUUCUUCACCAUUUUUAUUCUAGUGUUUGAAUCUUACCAUCUCAGCUGUUCCUACAUGUUUAGUAUACCUAAUUUCCAACUCCUUUUGUCCCACUCAGUGUUGCAUUUGAAGUCUUGUUCCACUCAGAAGGAAUCGUAGAUUUUCUCAGAUCUUAAAGAUCACCAAGUCCAACUGCAACCUAACCAUACUACCUUAAUGAUCCUGCACUAAAUCACGUCCCUGAGCACUGCAUCCAGAAAGGCAAUAUAAGGUAUACAUGGAGCAAAGAAUUUACUGUUAAUUCAUUCUUUUUCUUUAAAUUAUUUUUAACGCUCUAACAGUUUAAUUAGCAAACACAAUGAAUUCUUAUUAUUAAUACAAGUAAAAUCAUUUUAUGAAAUCUUUCUAAUGUCUACACACUGCUUUGGUGUCAUCCUCACUGAGGCAUGGCCUGCUCCCUUCCCUACUAUGAGGUCACACACCAAGCACCCGGGCUGCUGGCCAUUGCCCAGCCUUAUGCUCACAGGGCUGAAGGUGCAGGCCGCAGGCAUGAGGCUGCUGGGCACAGGAAAGCCAGCCUUGGCCAACACCAGCACAGGCAGCUCAUAGGGCCCUUCUCCGCCACGGUGAAAGGAAGUCUGAUAUGCAUCAGCGGUGGGCAUGAGAAGUCAUUAGCCAACAUUUGAAGUCACUAGCCAACAUCUGGACUGGCAAAUUGAGAGAUUUCACACCUUGAGAAAACAAUUGCAUCAAUGAUUCAUACCAUUAAACUGCCCUGCAGAUGUCAAGAUGUAAACAUCAGUGGCCAGAUAAACUUUUA